This is a non-coding RNA of Macaca mulatta (Rhesus monkey), 1983 nucleotides long. Lineage: Eukaryota; Metazoa; Chordata; Mammalia; Primates; Cercopithecidae. The record is from RefSeq and is a predicted model, not a curated record.
CCAAGUGCUGGGAUUACAGGCAUGGGCCACCGCGCCCGGCCCGGAAGUUUCUUUACGGAUCAUCUGGUCCAAUCCCUCUGUUUUACACGUAAGGGAACUAAGACACGAAGUGGCUUCCCCCAGUUCUCAGAUCUGGACUCUAAACCGGUCACACCUCCUUUUCCAGGUGGCAUUACUUAUUGGACAACAGGCCCCCAGCAAUCUAGGUGCCCCUUGAGAUACCCUGGGAGCAAAACACGGUUGUCUUCUUUUAAAGAGUCAAGAGUAACUUUGUAAAUACACGUCCUUGUCAUUCCUAGGAAAUUCUGUGGGAUUAUAGACAUCACUAGCUUCUAAGUGUGCUUUUCAAAAGGCCAGGCAGUUGGGCAGACUGCAGUGGUUACUCUUAGACUUGUAAAUAACUUCUGGGCUGUCCAAGACUGCCCAGUUUUGUGAUUGUUUUACCCUUUGGCUGUUCAUAGGCAAUGAUGAAGGUUUGCGGGAGGAAGAGAAAGAAGGGAAUGGCAGAAUGGGAUGUGGGGGUAAUAGAGAUACAUUUAUUGAGCACUAAUUAUAUCCCUGACAUUAUGCUUAGGGUGUUACCCAAUAUUAUCCCGAUUUUACAGACUGAGGAAAUUAAGUUUAAGUAAUUUGCCCAAGUCUCACAGCUAGCAAGAAGCUGUAGGUUUCAAACUUGGGGCUGUCUGAUUUCAGAGCCCAAGCUUGUCACCACCAUGCUCAUAGGGCAAUGGACAAGAGAAAGCCAGGUUUCCGGGAAACUUCUGAAUGGCCACAGUGAAGAAUGACCCUCUUACAUCCUGCUGAUUGGAUGUCCAGCCUUGAUGGGAUUUUGAGCAUCACAGGGGAAGAGGGGCCAGAAGAGGAGGAGAGCAGUUUCCUGUGUUGUUCCAGACUUGCCUCAUGUUGCCCACAUUUCUCUGGGGCUGACAUAUAUUUUUCCGGUAGGUGUGGCCUGAGGGUGUUGGGGUUUUACUUUUGUGCUGGUGCAGGCAGUUUUCAGGCUCAUAUAAACACUCACUCAGCUGUUUAUUUAUUCAUCCAACAAGCAUUUCUUAGACACCUCCUCUGUCAAUUCUUGAGCCAGUAAGUAAGCAUGGUCCCUGACCCGACAGAUCUAGCUCAGGUUCAGAGAUGCACAACCUAAUUCCAGCAAAGCUUUUUGUAGAUUGUCUGGGGCAGCUUUUACAACCCUUGAUCUUUCCCACUUCUCAGCUAUUCCUGUAGCAGCAGGAAGCUCUACUUUGGAGGAAUGGCAAACAGAUGGAAAAGUGAGGCUGUGAGCUGGCCUGAAGUUUUGGAAAAGGAUGUGGAAACCAGAGACUAACAAGAGGAUUUGGUGGUGUGUGUGAUGUCCCUCUCCCCACUGUUCCAUUUCCUUGGGUACUUAAGUUGGGCUGCUGAUUUAAGGGCCAACUUCUCAUGUAAAAAUCCAUCCCAGCAUCCUCAGCUCAAGUAACUGCCACUUGCCACUUGCCUGCCCCAGCAGAAUUAACGGAAGCUGCCAACAGCCCUGCUGACCUCAUUGGAUGGAACUGUGUCCUCAGCAGACACAAGCUCCUUCUUCUGAGCGAGGCUCCCUCCUAUCUCAGAGCAGGAAGUCCUCUUAUGAGGACUCCAAACUUCAGACAGAGAAGCAGGGGCCAUUCAGUCAUUUACUCUGCUCAGUGUCAACCUAAAGGGAAGAGGCUGAGACACAAAGUAUAAUUUAAAGUUUACUUGAACCAAAAUGAGGACAGCUGCCAGGAAGACUCAGACCCAGGCCUGAUGAUUUAAAAGGACUCACCUUCCUCAGAUGAAAGCUCUUUACUUUUUGCAUCAGGAACUCCCUUUUCUGCUUUCUUGGAGUAUCGGGAUAGGUCCCAUGAAGAGCUGCUGGCAGGGACAGACAGAAGCCAAGGAGAGGCCGUGCAAGGAAGCUGAAGUGCUUGGGAGGGGGCAACAGUCUCCCACCUGCAACCAACAUUAAAAAGCACUGUCACUUCA